Molecule: long non-coding RNA, 356 nt
Filed under: Rattus norvegicus (Norway rat)
Lineage: Eukaryota; Metazoa; Chordata; Mammalia; Rodentia; Muridae
Description: long non-coding RNA NONRATT015414
Source: RNAcentral
UUUAAUCCCAGUAUUUGGUAGAUGCACUUAGGUACAUCUAUGUAUAGCUACAGCUAUGUAGUAAGAUUAUGUCUCAAACCAAAAACAAGAACAUAUUUGCAGCCAUUGCUUUGGUUCUCACUAUUCCUAAAGGACCUGGAACUCACUGAUGCUCACACCACCUUAGAACUUAUAUGGUGCCUGCCACUUAUCUAUUUAAUUAUUUUGUUUUUGAGUUUCAUAGAAGAAAGGUAUCUUGGAUCUAAAAGAGUAGUCGUUUGGGAAAGCUGUAUGGGGAUAGAUUUGAGAUGGAUUUGGCUUGCAUGCAGGGAAGCAAGUGCCGUGUGAUGUGUCAUCAGUCCCAGUUAUUGCAUCUU